CCUACGGGAGGCUGCAGUGGGGAAUAUUGGACAAUGGGGGGAACCCUGAUCCAGCCAUGCCGCGUGUGUGAAGAAGGCCCUCGGGUUGUAAAGCACUUUCAGUGAGGAAGAACGCCUGGUGGUUAAUACCCAUCAGGAAAGACAUCACUCACAGAAGAAGCACCGGCUAACUCCGUGCCAGCAGCCGCGGUAAUACGGAGGGUGCGAGCGUUAAUCGGAAUUACUGGGCGUAAAGCGCGCGUAGGUGGCUUGAUAAGCCGGUUGUGAAAGCCCCGGGCUCAACCUGGGAACGGCAUCCGGAACUGUCAAGCUAGAGUGCAGGAGAGGAAGGUAGAAUUCCCGGUGUAGCGGUGAAAUGCGUAGAGCUCGGGAGGAAUACCAGUGGCGAAGGCGGCCUUCUGGACUGACACUGACACUGAGGUGCGAAAGCGUGGGUAGCAAACAGGAUUAGAUACCCCGGUAGUC
Molecule: ribosomal RNA, 465 nt
Filed under: Vreelandella stevensii
Lineage: Bacteria; Pseudomonadati; Pseudomonadota; Gammaproteobacteria; Oceanospirillales; Halomonadaceae
Description: partial 16S ribosomal RNA
Rfam family: Bacterial small subunit ribosomal RNA
Source: RNAcentral